GCUAGUAAUCGCGGAUCAGAAUGCCGCGGUGAAUGCGUUCCCGGGUCUUGUACACACCGCCCGUCACACCAUGGAAGUUGGGGGCGCCCGAAGUUGCCUAAGAAAUAAGGUACCUAAGGCGAAACCAAUGACUGGGGUGAAGUCGUAACAAGGUAGC
This 157-nucleotide ribosomal RNA is filed under the name uncultured bacterium. Its description in RNAcentral is "partial 16S ribosomal RNA". It matches the Rfam family "Bacterial small subunit ribosomal RNA", at positions 1334 to 1500 of the family's 1533-position model. The record is from RNAcentral.